RNAcentral lists this ribosomal RNA (433 nucleotides) under uncultured bacterium. RNAcentral describes it as "partial 16S ribosomal RNA". It matches the Rfam family "Bacterial small subunit ribosomal RNA", at positions 28 to 507 of the family's 1533-position model. The record is from RNAcentral.
GACGAACGCUGGCGGCAUGCCUAACACAUGCAAGUCGAACGAGACCUUCGGGUCUAGUGGCGCACGGGUGCGUAACGCGUGGGAAUCUGCCCUUGGGUUCGGAAUAACAGUGAGAAAUUACUGCUAAUACCGGAUGAUGUCUUCGGACCAAAGAUUUAUCGCCCAGGGAUGAGCCCGCGUAGGAUUAGCUAGUUGGUGGGGUAAUGGCCUACCAAGGCGACGAUCCUUAGCUGGUCUGAGAGGAUGAUCAGCCACACUGGGACUGAGACACGGCCCAGACUCCUACGGGAGGCAGCAGUGGGGAAUAUUGGACAAUGGGCGCAAGCCUGAUCCAGCAAUGCCGCGUGAGUGAUGAAGGCCUUAGGGUUGUAAAGCUCUUUUACCCGGGAUGAUAAUGACAGUACCGGGAGAAUAAGCUCCGGCUAACUCCGUG